CCCUACGGGGGGCAGCAGUGGGGGAUAUUGCACAAUGGGGGGAACCCUGAUGCAGCGACGCCGCGUGGGUGAAGAAGCGCCUCGGCGCGUAAAGCCCUGUCAGCAGGGAAGAAAAUGACGGUACCUGAAGAAGAAGCCCCGGCUAACUACGUGCCAGCAGCCGCGGUAAUACGUAGGGGGCAAGCGUUAUCCGGAUUUACUGGGUGUAAAGGGGGCGCAGACGGCGAUGCAAGCCAGGAGUGAAAGCCCGGGGCCCAACCCCGGGACUGCUCUUGGAACUGCGUGGCUGGGGUGCAGGAGGGGCG
This 305-nucleotide ribosomal RNA is filed under the name uncultured bacterium. Its description in RNAcentral is "partial 16S ribosomal RNA". It matches the Rfam family "Bacterial small subunit ribosomal RNA", at positions 337 to 659 of the family's 1533-position model. The record is from RNAcentral.